GGUGUAAGCCCAGAAGUGCCUGGGUGGCUCAGUCAGUUAAGCAUCUGACUCUUAUUUUGGCUCAGAACACUCCCACAGGAAGCAUCGCUGAUGGUCACUGGAUUGAUUUACAAAGGACAAAAGUACAAUGAGUAAAGGAGGAAAUAAGCACUUUUCAGAAAAGAAUCAAUAAACUCUGCUUUUAAUGUGAAAAGAAAAGAUAUUUCUUACUGAAAAGAAGGGGAAAUUAUUCUUGGAACACAGAUGAUGAUAUCAACAGUGGCAGCAGCAGCAUCAACAAACCAAUUCAAAAAUCAAGAAAUUAUGUGUGAAAUGUAAAAAUAAUUGCCACCAAAGAGGAAAAUUAUGAUUGAAUAAGAAAAUAAAUGAGUGAUUAAGCAUGUUUAAUUAAUAAAAAUGUGGUGAGAGCCCAUUGUUUUCUCCAGUUCAA
Molecule: long non-coding RNA, 430 nt
Organism: Mustela lutreola (European mink)
Lineage: Eukaryota; Metazoa; Chordata; Mammalia; Carnivora; Mustelidae
Exons: 3
Source: RefSeq, a predicted model, not a curated record